Molecule: ribosomal RNA, 253 nt
Filed under: uncultured bacterium
Lineage: Bacteria
Description: partial 16S ribosomal RNA
Rfam family: Bacterial small subunit ribosomal RNA
Source: RNAcentral
UACAGAGGGGGCAAGCGUUGUUCGGAAUUACUGGGCGUAAAGGGCGCGUAGGCGGCCUGCUAAGUCGAACGUGAAAUCCCCGGGCUCAACCCGGGAACUGCGUCCGAUACUGGUGGGCUUGAAUCCGGGAGAGGGAUGUGGAAUUCCAGGUGUAGCGGUGAAAUGCGUAGAUAUCUGGAGGAACACCGGUGGCGAAGGCGGCAUCCUGGGCCGGUAUUGACGCUGAGGCGCGAAAGCUAGGGGAGCAAACGGG